GAUGAACGCUGGCGGCGUGCCUAAUACAUGCAAGUCGAGCGAACAGAUGAGGAGCUUGCUCCUCUUUCGUUAGCGGCGGACGGGUGAGUAACACGUGGAUAACCUAUCUAUAAGACUUGGAUAACUUCGGGAAACCGGAGCUCAUACCGUAUAAUCUAUUGAACCGCAUGGUUCAAUAGUGAAAUAUGGUUUUUCUGUCACUUAUAGAUGUAUCCGCGCCGCAUUAGCUAGUUGGUAAGGUAACGGCUUACCAAGUCAACGAUGCGUAGCCGACGGGGGAGAGUGGUCGGCCACAUGGGAGCUGAACCAGGGUCCAGACGCCUGAGGGACGGAGCAGAAGGGAAUGGGCCGCAAUGGGCGAAAGCAUGGCGGAGCAACGGCGCGUGAGAGGUGGAGGUGUUGGGAGCGUAAAAAUGUGUUAUUAGGGAUGAACAAAUGUGUAAGGAAAUGUACACGGCUUGACGGUACCUGAUCAGAAAGCCACGGCUAACUACGUG
Molecule: ribosomal RNA, 497 nt
Filed under: uncultured bacterium
Lineage: Bacteria
Description: partial 16S ribosomal RNA
Rfam family: Bacterial small subunit ribosomal RNA
Source: RNAcentral